GAUGAACGCUGGCGGCGUGCCUAAUACAUGCAAGUCGAGCGAACAGAUGAGAAGCUUGCUUCUCUGAUGUUAGCGGCGGACGGGUGAGUAACACGUGGGUAACCUACCUAUAAGAUUGGGAUAACUCCGGGAAACCGGGGCUAAUACCGGAUAAUAUUUUGAACCGCAUGGUUCAAUAGUGAAAGGCGGUUUCGGCUGUCACUUAUAGAUGGACCCGCGCCGGAUUAGCUAGUUGGUAAGGUAACGGCUUACCAAGGAGACGAUACGUAGCCGACCUGAGAGGGUGAUCGGCCACACUGGAACUGAGACACGGUCCAGACUCCUACGGGAGGCAGCAGUAGGGAAUCUUCCGCAAUGGGCGAAAGCCUGACGGAGCAACGCCGCGUGAGUGAUGAAGGUCUUCGGAUCGUAAAACUCUGUUGUUAGGGAAGAACAAAUUUGUUGGUAACUGAACAAGUCUUGACGGUACCUAACCAGAAAGCCACGGCUAACUACGUGCCAGCCGCCGCGGUAA
RNAcentral lists this ribosomal RNA (514 nucleotides) under uncultured bacterium. Its description in RNAcentral is "partial 16S ribosomal RNA". It matches the Rfam family "Bacterial small subunit ribosomal RNA", at positions 28 to 523 of the family's 1533-position model. The record is from RNAcentral.